This 296-nucleotide ribosomal RNA is filed under the name uncultured bacterium. RNAcentral describes it as "partial 16S ribosomal RNA". It matches the Rfam family "Bacterial small subunit ribosomal RNA", at positions 28 to 309 of the family's 1533-position model. The record is from RNAcentral.
GACGAACGCUGGCGGCGUGCUUAAUACAUGCAAGUCGAGCGAGGUCCAUCUGGUGGGCAACACCAGUGAAGGCCGAGCGGCGAACGGGUGAGUAACACGUGAGCAACCUGCCCCGAAGUACUGGAAUAAACAUCGGGGAAACCGGUGCUAAUACCGGAUCGCCCCCACCCUGACCGCAUGAUCGGGUGAGGAAAGAUUUAUCGCUUCGGGACGGGGCUCGCGGCCUAUCAGCAGUUGGUGGGGUAACGGCCUACCAAGGACGUCGACGGGUAGUUGGUCUGAGAGGACGACCAGCC